RNAcentral lists this ribosomal RNA (351 nucleotides) under uncultured bacterium. Its description in RNAcentral is "bacterial SSU rRNA". It matches the Rfam family "Bacterial small subunit ribosomal RNA", at positions 32 to 361 of the family's 1533-position model. The record is from RNAcentral.
AAUCAACGCUGGCGGCGUGCCUCAGACAUGCAAGUCGAACGCUGCUGUUCGCCUUCGGGUGGACAGCGGAGUGGCGCACGGGUGAGUAACACGUAGGUAAUCUACCUUUGGGUGGGGAAUAACAGCCGGAAACGGCUGCUAAUACCGCAUAAUGCAGCGGCAUCACAUGAUGACAGUUGUUAAAGCGGGGGAUCGUAAGACCUCGCGCCUGAAGAGGAGCCUGCGGCAGAUUAGGUAGUUGGUGAGGUAAUGGCUCACCAAGCCUGCGAUCUGUAACCGGCCUGAGAGGGCGGUCGGUCACACUGACACUGACAUACGGGUCAGACUCCUACGGGAGGCAGCAGUCGGGAA